CUCGAAUUCAAAGAAGAUGACAGCGAGAGCGU
This 32-nucleotide small RNA is filed under the name Arabidopsis thaliana (thale cress). Its description in RNAcentral is "ATSL019040". Lineage: Eukaryota; Viridiplantae; Streptophyta; Magnoliopsida; Brassicales; Brassicaceae. The record is from RNAcentral.